AUAUCUUGUUUUGACUCAUGGCCUGCUCAAUAGUCAAGCCAUCGAGGUUAUGGGCGAUAUGGGCGGCCUCGAUUGAACUUUCCUCUCCAAUUUCGCUAUAUGGUGGGAAUUCCUGCAAGUUUUAGCCAGUCAUAGGUAGCUAAGUUUCUCUUUUGUUGGAUCCUGCUCUGUACUUUGUACCUUACUUGUGGCAUUCUUAUAAUAUCAACAUAGACCAAGGAAAAGGUAUGGGUUUCAUGUUUGCUUCUAUACAUGCAUGAGUUUAUCACGCAUUUACACCUGCAUGUGCCACUUGGUGGAUAGGUUGCUAGCAUUUGUGUAAUCACACAUCUAUUAAAGGAAUGACAGAGAUCCUAGGUUUUUGUCAACGCACCUGCAACCUUUGAAUUCUUGCUGGAUUUAUUCCUGCAAUCAUUUGCCGGGCGAACUCGCGAUCAUCUUUCCAGGCCCAUUUGUCCUCUAAGAACCAAAAGGAACAAACGAGUAUCAAAUUUUCUGCAUUUUACGUGAAAGAUGCCCCAAACUUCAAGUUCCAAGCAUUGCCCAAGUUACCUGCUAUUAUCUGAGGAACUUUCUCCACCUGUUGCCCUUGAUUGCCAGAAAACACUUCAAGCAUCUCAUUGAAUGAGUCAAAACUGCCCGAAUCCUCUUUGACUAAGGAUUUCUUCUCUGUAGCCAGAUUCUUGGGGCAAAUGAAGAAAGACAGACCAGGAUCAUACCGUUAUUGCUACAAGUGCGUCCUGUUCGAAUCCUACGAGGAUAAGGAUGUGCUUGGUUCCCACCUAGGAUGGGUCUUGCAUGGUCGUGACCUUGGUCAGCAUUGCCAAGAUCACCAUAGUGAUCGUAUUCAUAUAUCCUCUCCCAUUCCUUCCUCUCUCCCGUGCCAUCUCCCCUCACGCUAUGAAGUUCCUCUCUUCUCAGUUCUACCAUAGCUGCUGGUGUUUGGUUUGGAAGACAACACUAUCAUGAAGAUGGAUUUAAGUGCUUUAUUUCCAUUCAAAGUGGAUGAUCUCGACACUUGAGACCUCGAAGGUGGCAGACUGGAGGAAGAAUUUAUGUUUAUGCUCAUUGGUUAUGAGGAAAGCUCCUGGAAUUCCAAAUUCUGCUUCCACUUUGAACUUCACACUGUACACGGAGAAAGAUCCAACUUCCAAAAUGCAACAUUAACAGCUCGUAGUUACCAAAAUUAUCAGGUGAUUUUUCUGUGAGAAUUGUAACUAACAGCUGGCAGGACCAGCUGAAGGUGGGCUGGUAGAUCAAGGAGUGAAGAUAGAGAUCGAUAUCCUUUAUCAUGUUACACCCACAUGAGGUGAGAAGCAGAAUUCUCGGGAUUGAUGCUAACAAGACAGGAGAAUUAGCAUAGUAUGCAGAACCAUUGAGAAUAUGAAAGAAAAUAAAACAUACUGCAAAGUCGAACGUAAGCUGAUUUACCGGGUCCUGAAUGCCCUGGAUCUGCCACGACGACAAUUUCUCCAUGGAUCAUGCUGUGUCUGGAGGGAACAGCCUCUCCCAUAAUCAAAUGGUCCGUCAUUUUGCUGUGAAUGGUGUUCACGUACUUCGUGAUGCGAAGAGUUAGGGGAAGCGGUUUCUUUUUAGCUGUGCUCAUGGUCUUUCUCAAGAUUUGUAAUGUACCCCGGAAUGACGGUAAAGAAGCAUUGAGAACUCAAGCUGUGGAAUUCCCUAGCAUAGGAAGUAAUGUCAGAGUUAACAUGAAGACGUUCUGAUCUUUAGCCUUUAGCUAUGCCUCAGGAUCCUUUGCUUGUCUCUGAGGUUUCUUCUCUGGCACUCAUAGAAAAAUUCCCAGCUCAGCAAGAUCUUCCUUUUUCUUUCUCUUUUAA
Molecule: long non-coding RNA, 1838 nt
Organism: Rhodamnia argentea
Lineage: Eukaryota; Viridiplantae; Streptophyta; Magnoliopsida; Myrtales; Myrtaceae
Exons: 6
Source: RefSeq, a predicted model, not a curated record